GACGAACGCUGGCGGCGUGCUUAACAUAUGCAUGUCGAACGAUGACGACCGAGCUUGCUCGGUCUGAUUAGUGGCGAACGGGUGAGUAACACGUGAGCAACCUGCCCUUCACUCUGGGAUAACCUCGGGAAAUCGGGGCUAAUACCGGAUAUGAGCUCCUGUCGCAUGGCGGGUGUUGGAAAGUUUUUCGGUGAAGGAUGGGCUCGCGGCCUAUCAGUUUGUUGGUGAGGUAGUGGCUCACCAAGGCGAUGACGGGUAGCCGGCCUGAGAGGGCGACCGGCCACACUGGGACUGAGACACGGCCCAGACUCCUACGGGAGGCAGCAGUGGGGAAUAUUGCACAAUGGGCGAAAGCCUGAUGCAGCGACGCCGCGUGAGGGAUGACGGCCUUCGGGUUGUAAACCUCUUUCAGCAGGGAAGAAGCGAAAGUGACGGUACCUGCAGAAGAAGCGCCGGCUAACUACGUG
Molecule: ribosomal RNA, 467 nt
Filed under: uncultured bacterium
Lineage: Bacteria
Description: partial 16S ribosomal RNA
Rfam family: Bacterial small subunit ribosomal RNA
Source: RNAcentral